This is a non-coding RNA of Styela clava, 541 nucleotides long. NCBI's taxonomy places the organism in Eukaryota, Metazoa, Chordata, Ascidiacea, Stolidobranchia, Styelidae. The record is from RefSeq and is a predicted model, not a curated record.
CGUCCUUUGACUAGGUCUUAUUAUCUCACGGUACCGUAUAUAUCAAUGAGAAUAUAUAGACUACAUAUCCUCUUGUCCUGCCCGUAUGUUAGUCGUUGGUCCUGCCGGAAUAAAAGGUGUCAGUAUGGAGCCAAAUCUGAAUGAGUCAGCCAGCUCAAGCAGCGUCAAACGCAAGUGCAGUUUCAAUUAUUUUGUGGCUUCUAGAGCUGCCGCAAAACCAUGACGGGAUUUUCAAACCAUGGCCGCUAUGACCAAACCGACUGACUUUUUAACUGGUACCGGUACAAGUUGCCGUGACGAGGCGCAGUUGUCUGUUCUCAUCACUUCAUGACAGCUCCUGCCACGAACGUAGCGCAGCGUCUCUUGCCAUGGUUUUAUCGCGUUAUUACCGAUUUAGCAACUACGAAGGCAACUGAAAAUGAUACUUAUAAACUGUCUCAUGUCAUCUCUUGUUUUGAAGUCUGUUUACCUUUACUAUGUACUACCGUUAUGUGAGAAUGUUUUCGAUUUGAUUAAUUUUUUCAAUACAUUUAUAUUUUAG